Molecule: ribosomal RNA, 400 nt
Filed under: uncultured bacterium
Lineage: Bacteria
Description: bacterial SSU rRNA
Rfam family: Bacterial small subunit ribosomal RNA
Source: RNAcentral
AUUGAACGCUGGCGGCAUGCCUUACACAUGCAAGUCGAACGGCAGCACGGGAGCAAUCCUGGUGGCGAGUGGCGAACGGGUGAGUAAUAUAUCGGAACGUGCCCAGUCGUGGGGAUAACGUAGCGAAAGCUACGCUAAUACCGCAUACGAUCUAUGGAUGAAAGCGGGGGAUCGCAAGACCUCGCGCGAUUGGAGCGGCCGAUAUCAGAUUAGGUAGUUGGUGAGGUAAAGGCUCACCAAGCCGACGAUCUGUAGCUGGUCUGAGAGGACGACCAGCCACACUGGGACUGAGACACGGCCCAGACUCCUACGGGAGGCAGCAGUGGGGAAUUUUGGACAAUGGGCGCAAGCCUGAUCCAGCAAUGCCGCGUGCAGGAUGAAGGCCUUCGGGUUGUAAACU